Long non-coding RNA from Melanotaenia boesemani (Boeseman's rainbowfish), 649 nucleotides. RefSeq lists it as uncharacterized. The record is from RefSeq and is a predicted model, not a curated record. The transcript has 3 exons. NCBI's taxonomy places the organism in Eukaryota, Metazoa, Chordata, Actinopteri, Atheriniformes, Melanotaeniidae.
AAACUUCAAGUUGAUCUCUGAUCAUUACAUCACAAUAGAUUAAUUGUUUUUACUACAAUAUGAUUCUUAUAUAAUACAAUGUAUGUGAUGCAGUGCUUCCUCACAGUGUUUCUGUAGUUCCUGUCUCUGCCUGUAGAGGUCAGGGUUUCUGUAGUUCCUAUCUCUGCCGGUAGAGGUUAGGGUUUCUGUAGUUCCCGUCUCUACCUGUAGAGGUCAGGGUUUCUGUAGUUCCUAUCUCUACGUGUAGAGGGCAGGGUUUCUGUAGUUCCUAUCUCUAUGUGUAGAGGGCAGGGUUUCUGUAGUUUCUGUCUCUACCUGUAGAGGUCAGGGUUUCUGUAGUUUCUAUCUCUGCCUGUAGAGGUCAGGGUUUCUGUAGUUCCCAUCUCUACCUGUAGAGGUCAGGGUUUCUGUAGUUCCUAUUUCUGCCUGUAGAGGUCAGGUUUUCUGUAGUUCCCGUCUCUGCCAGUAGAGGUCAGGGUUUCUGUAGUUCCCGUCUCUGCCGGUAGAGGUCAGGGUUUCUGUAGUUCCUAUCUCUGCCUGUAGAGGUCAGGGUUUCUGUAGUUCCUGUCUCUACCUGUAGAGGUCAGGGUUUCUGUAGUUCCAAUUUCUACCUGUAGAGGUCAGGGUUUCUGUAGUUCCUAUCUCUGCC